Long non-coding RNA from Dermacentor silvarum, 430 nucleotides. RefSeq lists it as uncharacterized. The transcript is spliced from 3 exons. The record is from RefSeq and is a predicted model, not a curated record. NCBI's taxonomy places the organism in Eukaryota, Metazoa, Arthropoda, Arachnida, Ixodida, Ixodidae.
CAGCAUUGCAGCUCCAAGGAACAUCAGCCAUCUAGGAAUGCGGCCCCAAUGGUUCACUUUGUGUUCACUAACACUAUCAAUUGGUCUUGCUCGAUUUGCUCACUCUGGCACGUCGUUUUCGGCGGUGUUUUUCUCGACACUACUCUCUACUACAGUUCCGGUCUGCGGAACGCCAUCUACAAGUUGCAUGGGCCUGAAAGAGAAAUGUAUAGCCAAGAGCCAAUGUUGCGUCCCAUUUGUCUGCAUUCAGCGCAAGUGCCGACGUACAUGGCGACGCUAGGAAAAGAUGCUAGCCAAAUCAAACCAGCAGCGUGCAAUAAAGAUAGCAUGGCAGUCCGCUGCAGUUUGGAACGUCUGGAGAUUUGUCCGCAUAAAUAAGGAAUUGUCUCCCGUAUGGACAUAGGAGGCCCACAGUUAUUCAUACGCAAUA